This 468-nucleotide ribosomal RNA is filed under the name uncultured bacterium. RNAcentral describes it as "partial 16S ribosomal RNA". It matches the Rfam family "Bacterial small subunit ribosomal RNA", at positions 28 to 507 of the family's 1533-position model. The record is from RNAcentral.
GACGAACGCUGGCGGCGUGCUUAACACAUGCAAGUCGAACGGAAAGGCCCUGCUUUUGUGGGGUGCUCGAGUGGCGAACGGGUGAGUAACACGUGAGUAACCUGCCCUUGACUUUGGGAUAACUUCAGGAAACUGGGGCUAAUACCGGCUAGGAGCUACUGCUGCAUGGUGGGGGUUGGAAAGUUUCGGCGGUUGGGGAUGGACUCGCGGCUUAUCAGCUUGUUGGUGGGGUAGUGGCUUACCAAGGCUUUGACGGGUAGCCGGGCUGAGCGGGUGACCGGCCACGUUGGGACUGGGAUGCGGCCCAGACUCCUACGGGAGGCAGCAGUGGGGAAUAUUGCACAAUGGGCGGAAGCCUGAUGCAGCAACGCCGCGUGCGGGAUGACGGCCUUCGGGUUGUAAACCGCUUUCGCCUGUGACGAAGCGUGAGUGACGGUAAUGGGUAAAGAAGCACCGGCUAACUACGUG